GUGUCAUUCUUCUUCGGCCAAUGGAGUGUUAUCUUGUACCAGAAAUUAAGGAAUACGUACUGGUAAUUUUAAUCAUCUUCUUGCUCAUUAGCAUAUAUUAUAUAUAUAUCAAUCUAUUUUUCUGCUUCAUUCACAUUAACAUAAGAAAUUUAAUCUAGGUUUGUUCAUAACAAAAAACAUCACUAAUAUAUUUCCCAAAAGCAUAUAUCUUUAUACGAAUGAAUGAAGUGAAUAAUAAUCUUUGUUCAUUGUCUUGAUUUUAACUUCUUCUUGCUCCUCCUUAGAGGAUUGAACAUUUUUACUUAGGUUGUGAUUUGAUUCAAACCCCUAAAAAAAUCAAACAACAACGAAGUGAAUAAUAAUCUUUUUACCUACAAUUUCAUCACCAUUUUCAGGAGUACCCCCAACCGUGACCUUCUUUCAUCAUAUUUUUCUUCAAGCCUUGAUUUCAUUUCAUCUUUUUCACCUAUUUGAGUAUUGGAUUUGAAUGGGAUUCAGUUCAUGUUUAGAGAAAACUAAAAAAGUGAAUAGGUUUAGGUAGGAAGAGAUUUUUUAGAGAGUUCUGAUAUUUUUGAGAAAGAUUAAGAUAUAGUGAUAGAUGAUUCUAGCCUUUCUAGAGAAAUUUUUUCUUUAUCAAAAGACUGAGGACAUGCCCUAUCGUCCUCGUAUAGAGAAGGUAAAUCUUCUGGUGGACAUCUAUAAUUACUGUAUAAGUAAGUACCAGAACGCGCAUUGUAUCAAUCAAGCUCUCCUUUUAAAAAAAAAAGAAGGAAAGACACAUCCCAUCAUGUCUGAACACCCUUCUUCUUCUUCUUUGUUUCGUUUGUAUCUUUCCUUCUUUCUCUCUACAGUCACCACCAAACCCUAACUUCACUCUUUUUUUUUCUUCUAUACUCAAUUCAUGUGUUUUGGAAAAUCAACAAAAAUGAGUUAAGCAUAAAGGAGGAGGAGGACGACAACAAACGUCUUAAACUUGUAAAACAUGCGGAGAUGCUCGAGGGAAAAUUAAAUGGAGUUAAAGCCUGUGUGAACUUGCCUCCAACAGACUGGAGCACGAUGGAGUCUCACCACCAAGCAAAAGAUCAAGAUUGAUUUUGGCGGAGCUCAAGGACUGAAUUACUUACACAGCCAAAGAUACACACAUUGGGAUCUUAAGUUAACUUCCCUGCUACUUGACUUAAGACGACCACAACCGGUUUGGAAGUUUCUUAAUAGCUCGGUGAUUUUGGAGUAUUCAAUUUGGAUAUACCAGUGGCGCUCGGCAAACAUGGGCCCUUACCAUGGAAGGCACCGGAGUUACUUAACCGCCGUGACCGUGAGGUAUCGCCAAAGGUCGGCAAGGUAAACAUUUGAAUAAGGUGCCGACCAAAGGUUGUCGGCAAGGUCUACUUUGAAUAAGUUGCCGACGAAGAGAGGCCGACAUGGUUUUCAGAUGCAGAAUACCCCGACCGAUUUUCGGCCGAAAGGGUCUUUGAAUGAAGAAUACGCCGACUAUCUUGGGCCAGAAUUUUACGGUCGGCAUGAAAAAAUUUCCUACAAUGCCGACGAUCAUAUAGUCGGCAUGCACAUAAUUUUUAACACUGCCGGCUGACCUGUAGUCGGCAUGAUAAGGAUUUAUAAUCAUGUUGGCAUGUACUUAUACCAAACAGAAAACAGAAUAUGGGAAGAUGUAAUUCACUUUAUUCAUUCAAUUUUGGUUACUACAUUGAUCGAAACAUA
Molecule: long non-coding RNA, 1719 nt
Organism: Papaver somniferum (opium poppy)
Lineage: Eukaryota; Viridiplantae; Streptophyta; Magnoliopsida; Ranunculales; Papaveraceae
Exons: 4
Source: RefSeq, a predicted model, not a curated record